RNAcentral lists this ribosomal RNA (497 nucleotides) under uncultured bacterium. Its description in RNAcentral is "partial 16S ribosomal RNA". It matches the Rfam family "Bacterial small subunit ribosomal RNA", at positions 28 to 507 of the family's 1533-position model. The record is from RNAcentral.
GAUGAACGCUGGCGGCGUGCCUAAUACAUGCCAGUCGAGCGAACAGACGAGGAGCUUGCUCCUCUGACGUUAGCGGCGGACGGGUGAGUAACACGUGGAUAACCUACCUAUAAGACUGGGAUAACUUCGGGAAACCGGAGCUAAUACCGGAUAAUAUAUUGAACCACAUGGUUCAAUAGUGAAAGACGGUUUUGCUGUCACUUAUAGAUGGAUCCGCGCCGCAUUAGCUAGUUGGUAAGGUAACGGCUUACCAAGGCAACGAUGCGUAGCCGACCUGAGAGGGUGAUCGGCCACACUGGAACUGAGACACGGUCCAGACUCCUACGGGAGGCAGCAGUAGGGAAUCUUCCGCAAUGGGCGAAAGCCUGACGGAGCAACGCCGCGUGAGUGAUGAAGGUCUUCGGAUCGUAAAACUCUGUUAUUAGGGAAGAACAAAUGUGUAAGUAACUAUGCACGUCUUGACGGUACCUAAUCAGAAAGCCACGGCUAACUACGUG